This is a transfer RNA of 85 nucleotides. It matches the Rfam family "tRNA". From Rfam's summary of the family: Transfer RNA (tRNA) molecules are approximately 80 nucleotides in length.
GGUGGGAUUCCCGAGCGGUCAAAGGGAGCAGACUGUAAAUCUGCCGUCAUAGACUUCGAAGGUUCAAAUCCUUCUCCCACCAUCA